This 67-nucleotide transfer RNA is filed under the name Curculionoidea sp. 8 KM-2017. Its description in RNAcentral is "tRNA-Ser". Lineage: Eukaryota; Metazoa; Arthropoda; Insecta; Coleoptera. The record is from RNAcentral.
GAAUCAAAAAACCAAAAGGAAAAGCUUCUAACUUAGACUAAAGCGGUGAAACUCCGUUUUUGGUUCU